AUUGAACGCUGGCGGCAGGCCUAACACAUGCAAGUCGAGCGCGAAAGUCUUCGGAUGAGUAAAGCGGCGGACGGGUGAGUAAUGCAUGGGAAUCUGCCUGGUAGUGGGGGACAACGUUUCGAAAGAGACGCUAAUACCGCAUACGCCCUACGGGGGAAAGGGGGGGAUCUUCGGACCUCUCGCUAUCAGAUGAGCCCAUGUCAGAUUAGCUAGUUGGUAGGGUAAAGGCCUACCAAGGCGACGAUCUGUAACUGGUCUGAGAGGAUGAUCAGUCACACUGGAACUGAGACACGGUCCAGACUCCUACGGGAGGCAGCAGUGGGGAAUAUUGGACAAUGGGGGCAACCCUGAUCCAGCCAUGCCGCGUGUGUGAAGAAGGCCUUAGGGUUGUAAAGCACUUUCAGUGGGGAGAAAGGUUAUUCACCUAAUACGUGAGUAAAUUGAUGCUACCCACAGAAGAAGCACCGGCUAGCUCCGUGCCAGCCGCCGCAGUAA
RNAcentral lists this ribosomal RNA (495 nucleotides) under uncultured bacterium. RNAcentral describes it as "partial 16S ribosomal RNA". It matches the Rfam family "Bacterial small subunit ribosomal RNA", at positions 30 to 523 of the family's 1533-position model. The record is from RNAcentral.